RNAcentral lists this unclassified non-coding RNA (169 nucleotides) under uncultured Phanerochaete. RNAcentral's name for it is "sequence contains ITS1". Lineage: Eukaryota; Fungi; Basidiomycota; Agaricomycetes; Corticiales; Corticiaceae. The record is from RNAcentral.
UCGAGUUUUGAACGGGUUGUAGCUGGCCUUUAUGGGCAUGUGCACGCCUGGCUCAUCCACUCUUAACCCCUGUGCACCACAUGUAAGAACGAACGGCGAAAGUCUUAGUUCUUAUGUUUAUUACAAACGCUUCAGUUUUAGAAUGUUUACUGUGUAUAACACAAAUAUA